CCUACGGGUGGCAGCAGUCGAGAAUCAUUCACAAUGGGGGAAACCCUGAUGGUGCGACGCCGCGUGGGGGAAUGAAGGUCUUCGGAUUGUAAACCCCUGUCAUGUGGGAGCAAAUUAAAAAGAUCGUACCACACGAGGAAGAGACGGCUAACUCUGUGCCAGCAGCCGCGGUAAUACAGAGGUCUCAAGCGUUGUUCGGAAUCACUGGGCGUAAAGCGUGCGUAGGCUGUUUCGUAAGUCGUGUGUGAAAGGCGCGGGCUCAACCCGCGGACGGCACAUGAUACUGCGAGACUAGAGUAAUGGAGGGGGAACCGGAAUUCUCGGUGUAGCAGUGAAAUGCGGAGAUAUCGAGAGGAACACUCGUGGCGAAGGCGGGUUCCUGGACAUUAACUGACGCUGAGGCACGAAGGCCAGGGGAGCGAAAGGGAUUAGAUACCCCUGUAGUC
RNAcentral lists this ribosomal RNA (446 nucleotides) under uncultured bacterium. RNAcentral's name for it is "partial 16S ribosomal RNA". It matches the Rfam family "Bacterial small subunit ribosomal RNA", at positions 338 to 795 of the family's 1533-position model. The record is from RNAcentral.